RNAcentral lists this transfer RNA (75 nucleotides) under Candidatus Azambacteria bacterium RIFCSPHIGHO2_02_46_12. RNAcentral describes it as "tRNA-Arg". It matches the Rfam family "tRNA". Rfam says of the family: Transfer RNA (tRNA) molecules are approximately 80 nucleotides in length. The record is from RNAcentral. Lineage: Bacteria; Candidatus Azamiibacteriota. RNAcentral also lists the same sequence under 3 other names.
GCCCCCAUAGCUUAAUGGAUAAAGCAGCGCUCUUCUAAGGCGUUGAUCGGGGUUCAAUUCCUCGUGGGGGCACCA